RNAcentral lists this ribosomal RNA (512 nucleotides) under uncultured bacterium. RNAcentral describes it as "bacterial SSU rRNA". It matches the Rfam family "Bacterial small subunit ribosomal RNA", at positions 338 to 855 of the family's 1533-position model. The record is from RNAcentral.
CCUACGGGAGGCAGCAGUAAGGAAUAUUGCGCAAUGGGCGACAGCCUGACGCAGCGACGCCGCGUGGGGGAUGAAGGUCUUCGGAUUGUAAACCCCUUUCGGCAGGGAAGAUGGAACGGGUAACCGUUCGGACGGUACCUGCAGAAGCAGCCACGGCUAACUUCGUGCCAGCAGCCGCGGUAAUACGAAGGUGGCAAGCGUUGUUCGGAUUUACUGGGCGUACAGGGAGCGUAGGCGGUURGGUAAGCCCUCCGUGAAAUCUCCGGGCCUAACCCGGAAAGGGCGGAGGGGACUGCUYGGCUAGAGGAUGGGAGAGGAGCGCGGAAUUCCCGGUGUAGCGGUGAAAUGCGUAGAGAUCGGGAGGAAGGCCGGUGGCGAAGGCGGCGCUCUGGAACAUUUCUGACGSUGAGGCUMGAAAGCGUGGGGAGCAAACAGGAUUAGAUACCCUGGUAGUCCACGCCUUAAACGAUGAAUACUAAGUGUCGGCGGGUUACCGCCGGUGCCGCAGCUAA